RNAcentral lists this ribosomal RNA (402 nucleotides) under Enterococcus faecium. RNAcentral's name for it is "bacterial SSU rRNA". It matches the Rfam family "Bacterial small subunit ribosomal RNA", at positions 1 to 381 of the family's 1533-position model. Lineage: Bacteria; Bacillati; Bacillota; Bacilli; Lactobacillales; Enterococcaceae. The record is from RNAcentral.
UUUUAUGAGAGUUUGAUCCUGGCUCAGGACGAACGCUGGCGGCGUGCCUAAUACAUGCAAGUCGAACGCUUCUUUUUCCACCGGAGCUUGCUCCACCGGAAAAAGAGGAGUGGCGAACGGGUGAGUAACACGUGGGUAACCUGCCCAUCAGAAGGGGAUAACACUUGGAAACAGGUGCUAAUACCGUAUAACAAUCGAAACCGCAUGGUUUUGAUUUGAAAGGCGCUUUCGGGUGUCGCUGAUGGAUGGACCCGCGGUGCAUUAGCUAGUUGGUGAGGUAACGGCUCACCAAGGCCACGAUGCAUAGCCGACCUGAGAGGGUGAUCGGCCACAUUGGGACUGAGACACGGCCCAAACUCCUACGGGAGGCAGCAGUAGGGAAUCUUCGGCAAUGGACGAAAG